This 440-nucleotide ribosomal RNA is filed under the name uncultured Sphingomonas sp. RNAcentral describes it as "bacterial SSU rRNA". It matches the Rfam family "Bacterial small subunit ribosomal RNA", at positions 37 to 524 of the family's 1533-position model. The record is from RNAcentral. Lineage: Bacteria; Pseudomonadati; Pseudomonadota; Alphaproteobacteria; Sphingomonadales; Sphingomonadaceae.
UGGCGGCAUGCCUAACACAUGCAAGUCGAACGAACCCUUCGGGGUUAGUGGCGCACGGGUGCGUAACGCGUGGGAAUCUGCCCUUGGGUUCGGAAUAACAGUUAGAAAUGACUGCUAAUACCGGAUGAAGUCUUCGGACCAAAGAUUUAUCGCCCAGGGAUGAGCCCGCGUAGGAUUAGGUAGUUGGUGGGGUAAAGGCCUACCAAGCCGACGAUCCUUAGCUGGUCUGAGAGGAUGAUCAGCCACACUGGGACUGAGACACGGCCCAGACUCCUACGGGAGGCAGCAGUGGGGAAUAUUGGACAAUGGGGGAAACCCUGAUCCAGCAAUGCCGCGUGAGUGAUGAAGGCCUUCGGGUCGUAAAGCUCUUUUACCAGGGAUGAUAAUGACAGUACCUGGAGAAUAAGCUCCGGCUACUCCGUGCCAGCAGCCGCGGUAAU